This 28-nucleotide small RNA is filed under the name Bombyx mori (domestic silkworm). RNAcentral's name for it is "ovarian small RNA-35369". The record is from RNAcentral. Lineage: Eukaryota; Metazoa; Arthropoda; Insecta; Lepidoptera; Bombycidae.
UGUAAUCCAGCUUCGGGCAGAGGGCCAA